GUCUACAGCCAUACUCCCCUGAAUGCACUUGAACUCAUCUCAGAAGCUAACGAGGGUCAGGCCCUGUUAGAAGUAGGAUGGGAGAAUUCAGCAGAUGCAAAAGGAAAAAACA
RNAcentral lists this ribosomal RNA (112 nucleotides) under Meriones unguiculatus (Mongolian gerbil). The record is from RNAcentral. Lineage: Eukaryota; Metazoa; Chordata; Mammalia; Rodentia; Muridae.